This 345-nucleotide unclassified non-coding RNA is filed under the name soil metagenome. Its description in RNAcentral is "partial contains 5.8S ribosomal RNA, internal transcribed spacer 2, and large subunit ribosomal RNA". The stretch from base 1 to 120 matches the Rfam family "5.8S ribosomal RNA", at positions 35 to 154 of the family's 154-position model. The record is from RNAcentral.
GAUGAAGAACGCAGCGAAAUGCGAUAAGUAGUGUGAAUUGCAGAUUUCAGUGAAUCAUCGAAUCUUUGAACGCACAUUGCGCCCCCUGGUAUUCCGGGGGGCAUGCCUGUCCGAGCGUCAUUGCUGCCCUCAAGCACGGCUUGUGUGUUGGGCCUCCGUCCUCCUCCCGGGGGACGGGCCCGAAAGGCAGCGGCGGCACCGCGUCCGGUCCUCGAGCGUAUGGGGCUUCGUCACCCGCUCUUGUAGGCCCGGCCGGCGCUUGCCGACACAUCAAUCUUUUUUCCAGGUUGACCUCGGAUCAGGUAGGGAUACCCGCUGAACUUAAGCAUAUCAAUAAGCGGAGGA